GAUGAAGAACGUAGCGAAAUGCGAUAAGUAAUGUGAAUUGCAGAAUUCAGUGAAUCAUCGAAUCUUUGAACGCACAUUGCGCCCGCCAGUAUUCUGGCGGGCAUGCCUGUUCGAGCGUCAUUACAACCCUCAGGCCCCCGGGCCUGGCGUUGGGGAUCGGCGGAGCCCCCCGUGGGCACACGCCGUCCCCCAAAUGCAGUGGCGGUCCCGCCGCAGCUUCCAUCGCGUAGUAGCCAACACCUCGCGACUGGAGAGCGGCGCGGCCACGCCGUAAAACACCCAACUCUUCUGAAGUUGACCUCGAAUCAGGUAGGAAUACCCGCUGAACUUAAGCAUAUCAAUAAGCGGAGGA
This 352-nucleotide unclassified non-coding RNA is filed under the name soil metagenome. RNAcentral describes it as "partial contains 5.8S ribosomal RNA, internal transcribed spacer 2, and large subunit ribosomal RNA". The stretch from base 1 to 120 matches the Rfam family "5.8S ribosomal RNA", at positions 35 to 154 of the family's 154-position model. The record is from RNAcentral.